Molecule: long non-coding RNA, 736 nt
Organism: Solea senegalensis (Senegalese sole)
Lineage: Eukaryota; Metazoa; Chordata; Actinopteri; Pleuronectiformes; Soleidae
Exons: 2
Source: RefSeq, a predicted model, not a curated record
GUUCUUGCUUCUUUUCUUAGCAGUCACAGAAAUAGCAGCGCACACACACACACACACACACAGAGAAAGAGAGAUGGAGGCUGAGAUAAGGAGACGCAGGGUGGGGGAAGGAGAGAGAAGAAAAAGAAAAAGCGUUCAGCUUUUUGUGUGAUGUUUUUUCACUGUGGGAUGGGGGGACACGGUGAUAUAUUCCCAUAGAGCCGCUGUACAAAAACCUGCUGCCAUUCACACACACUGUAUGCCACAUCUGCAGCCACUCCUUCUCCUUCUACGGGCAACUCAGGAAACCUAAAAGAAAAUGUCAUAUUCUAAAAGCAAAAUUAAUACUGGGAAGUUAAUUAGGAACAUUAGGAAAUUUGGCUAAAUCAAAACUUUUAAAUACAGAAGGACGCUUGUUUAUUUUGGGAUAAAGUAAAACAAAAAAAAAGAUAUUGGACAUGAUGAAGCUGAUCCUGUAGGAUUAAAUCUUCAUCCUCCUGGAUUAUUAGAAAGUGUGUUGAAAGGUUUUGUGAGUUUUUGGUAGAGGAGACAGUCAGUGUGACACUGGAUCUGAAGCUUACUUUGGAAAAGGAACUAAACUCACAGUUUUGGAGCGGAAAACACUGUGACCUACACUGAGCCUGCUUACUUUGGCCAAGGAACCAAAGUGACCGUCUUAGGUAAAUAUUUAAUUUCACACCUGUAUAUUCAUUAAUGUUAUUUUGCUUUAGAGUCCAAGUACGAACAGAAGACUUGG